AAACAGACUUGAUGCAGCCUCACAGAAAUUUCUGCUUCCAAGCCAUUGGUCAGUGAUUUUAGUUUGGCCCCAAAUUAAGGCAGAAAAGUUAGCUAGAGAAAGUAUCUCAUGAUGCAAGAGGAUGACCCAGGAGCAAAUGGAACAUGGGGGCUGAGUGUCACAGGAAAACAAGACUACUGCAUCAGACGAUGGUACAUUGAGAUUCUGACUCCUGCAGAUUCUAACGUAAGAAUAUUCUGAUGAAAAAUAGCCAGAGAAGAAGAUUGUACAUCUUGGGAGGUGUCCGCAGAAGAUGGCCUUGGACCAGGUGCUUUCUCAAUAAAUAGUGGCAGAGAAAUAUUCAUGCAACUGAAAUGACUGGAAAAUCACUACUGUCUGACAUAAUUUCCUUUCAAGAGCCUAGAGAGUUAGGAGAAGAUCCAGAUAACUUUGAUCUCAGAACAAAACCAACAGUGAAAUACCAAGAGCAUCCUGAACUCUUUCACUGCCUUUCUACCUCGCUUAGGCUCUAUCCUCCCAAAUGGCACAGAUCAUAAAAACUGUCAGCAGCACGUACCUGAAUAAUGCAUCAGGAGACUGGAAGUUACUAAAAGGAAAGAAAAAAUCCCAAACUGCUGAAGCAGCAAUACUACCUACCAUUACUGAGUGUCAGUUUGUGAUAGCGUUUACUGGUAGCUUCUGUUACUUAUGUGGAAUAGUUCAUAAUUCAUAAGGAAACAUUCCUGCUUAUUUGUUCCACACAAUAAAAUGAUCUCACUCUGGAGCACAGAGCCAGGGACCAAUGGGGUAGUUAAUAUAUCAGCUUUAUAAUCUUAGACAUAGUUAACAUUUUUUAGCCUCAGUUUUCCCGUAUACGAACUAGGGAAAAUGCUGUUUUCAGAGUUGUGCUGUUGAAAUUAUGAAUUUAAUUGUCCUUAAAUUAUCCAUGUUUCCUAAAUAAAAUGCAUCAUCCUGAUGAAUUUUUGGGCCAACGUUUCUUAUGAGGUUUUAAUGUUAAGAAAAAG
Molecule: long non-coding RNA, 1004 nt
Filed under: Equus caballus (horse)
Lineage: Eukaryota; Metazoa; Chordata; Mammalia; Perissodactyla; Equidae
Description: lncRNA (ENSECAG00000055362.1)
Source: RNAcentral